AGUAGCGGCGAGCGAAGCGGGAAGAGCCCGGUGUGAAAAUCUCUUCGGAGAAUUGUAUUUGAGUGUCCUUUGGGUGGUCAGUGCGAGCAAGUUGCUUGGGAUAGCACGCCAUGGAGGGUGAGAGCCCCGUCCAUCUCGCACAGGAUCCAUCCGUACAAGGUCGCUUCAACCGAGUCGGGUAGCUUGGGAAUGCUGCUCUAAUUGGUGGUAAAUCUCAUCAAAGGCUAAAUAACGGUGGGAGACCGAUAGCGAACAAGUACCGUGAGGGAAAGAUGGAAAGAACUUUGAAAAGAGAGUGAAAAGAACUUGAAACCGUCACGGGGGAAGCGGAUUGCGUGAGUGGUGGUGUCGCUUGUUCAGCGCCUUUGGCGUGCAUUCUGGCGAUACCUUGUCGUUGUGGCUGGUUGGUAUGUGAUUUUGACGUACUGGCUGGUGAGGGCUCCCUUUCGGUGAGGACAACGACAAAAUGACGCAAUACGACCCGUCUUGAAACACGGACCAAGGAGUCUAGCACGGCUGCGAGUCGAAGGGUGUAAAACCCAAGGGCGCAGUGAAAGCGAAUUUAUAAGCAAAUUGGGGAGGCGUGGAGUUUUUAACAAAAUGUCCUACCUUGAGCAUUUGUGCUGGGACCCGAAAGAUGGUGAACUAUGCCGGAGUAGGGCAAAGCCAGAGGAAACUCUGGUGGAGGCUCGUAGCGAUGCUGACGUGCAAAUCGCUCGUCGAACUUGGGUAUAGGGGCGAAAGACUAAUCGAACCAUCUAGUAGCUGGUUCCCUCCGAAGUUUCUCUCAGGAUAGCGGGCCGACAUAUGUUGUUUUGUGCGGUAAAGCGAAUGAUUAGUGCAUUUGGGGUCUGAUAGACUUCGGGCGAUUCUCAAACUUUAAAUGCGCAAGGGGGUGGCUGCUUAAUUGAGCCUACUCUUUGAAAAACGUCGGCCCUGUGGGCCACUUUUGGUAAGCAGAACUGGCGAUAAGGGAUGAACCUUAAGCGCGGUUAAGGCGCCGCAUUGCCCGCUUAUAGACCCCACAAAAGGUGUUGAUUCAUUUAGACAGCAGGACGGUGGCCAUGGAAGUCGGAAUCCGCUAAGGAGUGUGUAACAACUCACCUGCCGAAUGAAUUAGCCCUGAAAAUGGAUGGCGCUUAAGCGGGCAGCCGACACCGCGCCGUUCCGGCGAGACGAUGCCGGGAUGAGUAGGAGGGCGUGGCGGUCAGUGACGCAGGCGAGGGUGCAGACCCCGCUGAAACGGCCGCUAGUGCAGAUCUUGGUGGUAGUAGCAAAUAUUCAAGCGAGAUCCUUGAAGGGCGAAGCGGGGAAGGGUUCCACGCAAACAUUGAUUGGGCGUGGGUGAGUCGUUCCUAAGCCGAGUGGCAAUUGCUAAGUAGCGGCGAAAGGGAAGCGGGUUAAAAUUCCCGCACACGGAUAUGGAGGCGGCGACGCAAGCAGAGGUAAAUACGCUGGCGAGGGCGCUGGGCAGAGUUGUCUUUUCUGUUUGACCGGCAUCGCGCUGUGUGGAAUCCGCUUAUCGGGAGAAACACGCGCGGG
Molecule: ribosomal RNA, 1542 nt
Filed under: Liagora nesophila
Lineage: Eukaryota; Rhodophyta; Florideophyceae; Nemaliales; Liagoraceae
Description: eukaryotic LSU rRNA
Rfam family: Eukaryotic large subunit ribosomal RNA
Source: RNAcentral